This 808-nucleotide ribosomal RNA is filed under the name uncultured bacterium. Its description in RNAcentral is "bacterial SSU rRNA". It matches the Rfam family "Bacterial small subunit ribosomal RNA", at positions 8 to 827 of the family's 1533-position model. The record is from RNAcentral.
AGAGUUUGAUCAUGGCUCAGAGUGAACGCUGGCGGCGUGCCUAACACAUGCAAGUCGAACGAGAACGGAUUACAGCUUGCUGUAAUUGUCAGCUAAGUGGCGCACGGGUGAGUAAUAUAUAGUUAAUCUGCCCCAAAGAAGAGAAUAAUUGUUGGAAACGACUUGUAAUGCUCUAUAUGCCUUUAAGACAUAAGUCUGCAAGGGAAAUAUUUAUAGCUUUGGGAUGAGACUGUACGGUAUCAGCUAGUUGGUGAGGUAAUGGCUCACCAAGGCUAUGACAUCUAACUGGUUUGAGAGGAUGAUCAGUCACACUGGAACUGAGACACGGUCCAGACUCCUACGGGAGGCAGCAGUGGGGAAUAUUGCACAAUGGAGGAAACUCUGAUGCAGCAACGCCGCGUGGAGGAUGACACAUUUCGGUGCGUAAACUCCUUUUAUAUGAGAAGAUAAUGACGGUAUCAUAUGAAUAAGCACCGGCUAACUCCGUGCCAGCAGCCGCGGUAAUACGGGGGGUGCAAGCGUUACUCGGAAUCACUGGGCGUAAAGAGCAUGUAGGCUGUAGAUUAAGUUGGAAGUGAAAUCCUAUGGCUCAACCAUAGAACUGCUUCCAAAACUGAUUUGCUAGAGUAUGGGAGAGGUAGAUGGAAUUUCUGGUGUAGGGGUAAAAUCCGUAGAGAUCAGAAGGAAUACCGAUUGCGAAGGCGAUCUACUGGAACAUUACUGACGCUGAGAUGCGAAAGCGUGGGGAGCAAACAGGAUUAGAUACCCUGGUAGUCCACGCCCUAAACGAUGCACACUAGUUGUUGCU